CGUGGGUAACCCACCCUCGAGACCGGGAUACCCUCUCGAAAGGGAGGCUAAUACUGGAUACGUUCCCUGGGACGCAAGAUCUAGGGAGGAAAGGUGGCGAAAGCUGCCGCUCUUGGAGGGGCUCGCGGCCUAUCAGCUAGUUGGUGAGGUAACGGCUCACCAAGGCUAUGACGGGUAGCUGGUCUGAGAGGACGACCAGCCACACGGGAACUGAGACACGGUCCCGACUCCUACGGGAGGCAGCAGUGGGGAAUUUUCCGCAAUGGGCGAAAGCCUGACGGAGUGACGCCGCGUGGGGGACGAAGGCCUUCGGGUCGUAAACCCCUGUCAGAGGGAAAGAAGGGUGUCGGCGUGAAUAGCGCUGGCAUCUGACGGUACCUUCAGAGGAAGCCCCGGCCAACUCUGUGCCAGCAGCCGCGGUAAGACAGAGGGGGCAAGCGUUGCUCGGAAUCACUGGGCGUAAAGGGCGCGUAGGCGGGAUGGCAAGUCGGUCGUGAAAUCCUUCGGCUCAACCGAAGAACGUCGGCCGAUACUGCCGUUCUUGAGGGAUGCAGAGGAGAUUGGAAUUCCCGGUGUAGCGGUGAAAUGUGUAGAGAUCGGGAGGAACACCGGUGGC
This 616-nucleotide ribosomal RNA is filed under the name uncultured bacterium. RNAcentral describes it as "bacterial SSU rRNA". It matches the Rfam family "Bacterial small subunit ribosomal RNA", at positions 116 to 716 of the family's 1533-position model. The record is from RNAcentral.